RNAcentral lists this unclassified non-coding RNA (637 nucleotides) under Hevea brasiliensis (rubber tree). The record is from RNAcentral. Lineage: Eukaryota; Viridiplantae; Streptophyta; Magnoliopsida; Malpighiales; Euphorbiaceae.
CGCAACUUGAACGGAAUUAUUUAUGUGAAGUGGAAUAAAAAAAUCUGUCUACAUACCAAUGUUUAGAGUCUUACCAAAUAUCUCUCAAAGAACCUGUUUUGUUCCCUCAAAAUUAUCCCAAAACAAGAAAAGUUAAUAAGAGAUAUCAGAAUAUGUGUUUUUCUCUUUCUUGUACAACAACAUAAGCCCUUGCAAGCCUCUAAAUUAAAAUAGCAAUUUUUGAAGGUGCACUUGUCUCCCUUCUUGUCUUCCAAGGAAAGUUAGCCACAAGCUAGCUCAGUUAGAACGAAAUUGGGACUACUCUCAUGACUAUGGACAGUUCUCCUUUCCCCCCACCGCCUAUGGUUUCCUUCCUCUUGCCGUCCAUCAAAUGGCACUACAUAAGGAUUUUCACUGAAAAAUAACCCUUUUUUGAUCCCCUGUCUAGCCUUAUCUUCAACAUUCGUGUCAUUCAUCUUACCUAAGAGCACAUGAGAUCUGUCCCAAACAACAGCAUUCCUCAUAAAAGACACAUGCCAACUACCUCCCUGAGGAAAAUUGCAUGCAAGAACUCACUAAAGCACCUUUUUUACUAGCCAAAAAGCUAAGUUCAGCUAGUGAAUUGUUUAUAGAGGAAGUGUCAUACCAAAUAUCAUUG